UACGUAGGGGGCGAGCGUUGUCCGGAUUUAUUGGGCGUAAAGAGCGCGUAGGCGGCCAGGUAGGUCCGACGUGAAAUCUCGAGGCUCAACCUCGAGCGGUCGUUGGAUACCGCCUGGCUAGAGUCCGGAAGAGGAGAGUGGAAUUCUCGGUGUAGAGGUGAAAUUCGUAGAUAUCGAGAGGAACACCGGCGGCGAAGGCGGCCAACUGGACGAAUACUGACGCUGAGACUCGAAAGCGUGGGGAGCAAACAGG
RNAcentral lists this ribosomal RNA (253 nucleotides) under uncultured bacterium. RNAcentral's name for it is "partial 16S ribosomal RNA". It matches the Rfam family "Bacterial small subunit ribosomal RNA", at positions 524 to 776 of the family's 1533-position model. The record is from RNAcentral.